AAGUCGUAACAAGGUUUCCGUAGGUGAACCUGCGGAAGGAUCAUUAUUGAAUGAACUUGAUGUAGUUGUAGCUGGUCCUCUUGGGGACAUGUGCUCGCUCGUCAUCUUUAUCUUUCCACCAGUGCACACUUUGUAGACCUGUAUAGUACUUUCCGAGGUAACUCGGUCGGGAGGAUUGCUGUGCGUUAAUGCCAGCUUUCCUUGCAUUAUUCAGGCCUAUGUUUUUCAUAUACCCCAAAGCAUGUAACAGAAUGUAUUAUUGGGCCUUGUGCCUAUAAACAAUAUACAACUUUCAGCAACGGAUCUCUUGGCUCUC
Molecule: unclassified non-coding RNA, 316 nt
Filed under: air metagenome
Description: partial contains small subunit ribosomal RNA, internal transcribed spacer 1, and 5.8S ribosomal RNA
Rfam family: Eukaryotic small subunit ribosomal RNA (bases 1-46)
Source: RNAcentral